Molecule: transfer RNA, 64 nt
Filed under: Glottidia pyramidata
Lineage: Eukaryota; Metazoa; Brachiopoda; Lingulata; Lingulida; Lingulidae
Description: tRNA-Phe
Source: RNAcentral
GCGGGGGUAGUUUAAUAAGAACAUGGCACUGAAGAUGCCAUAGUGGUGUAUCCGCCUCCCCGUA